GAGAAAAUAAUAUUUAAAAAUAUUUAUGAAUCAAGAACUCACUUAUAUCGUAAAUAUACGAUAUAACUAAAUCGGAAUAAAGUUUAUCUCCAUCAUGGAUCACUUAUUCAAUUAGGCAAAGCAUGAAUGCAAAAUCCUGUUAUCUCGUUACCCUCGCGAAUUAUCAUCGACACAUUACACAUUGCAACCGCAGGGGUUGCAGAAAUUUCGGUGAGCGUAAUUUUCGUUUGGUAACAGGUUUCGUCGCCCUCACGCUCUUUGUCCGUCACGAUCCGCGACAUGUGCAUCCCUAUCGAAUCUAAAGUCGCGCGGUCCAUCGAGCUUACAAUAUGACCCUUGACAGAACGAGGUCCAUUGUGUCAUUUGAGAGGGGCGAGAUGAGUCAAGCGUUCCAUAUUAAUUCAAGAUGCAAAUUCGAGCUUCGUUUGUAGAAUUAAAUAGAUGGAAUAUUUCAUAAGUGGAUAAUGUUUAUGUAAGAUUUAUGCUGCAGCAUGAAAAAUUUUGUGAAAAAAUUAUUAUACAUCAGAUAUAGAAUAUUUGAGAUUUAAAAUUGGUGAUAAAA
This is a long non-coding RNA of Apis florea (little honeybee), 562 nucleotides long. NCBI's taxonomy places the organism in Eukaryota, Metazoa, Arthropoda, Insecta, Hymenoptera, Apidae. The record is from RefSeq and is a predicted model, not a curated record.